CAGCCGCCGCGGGAAUACGAAGGGGGCUAGCGUUGUUCGGAUUUACUGGGCGUAAAGGGCGCGUAGGCGGGCGAUUUAGUCAGGGGUGAAAUCCCAAGGCUCAACCUUGGAACUGCCUUUGAUACUGAUCGUCUUGAGUUCGAGAGAGGUAGGUGGAACUGCGAGUGUAGAGGUGAAAUUCGUAGAUAUUCACAAGAACACCAGUGGCGAAGGCGGCUUACUGGCUCGAUACUGACGCUGAGGCGCGAAAGCGUGGGGAGCAAAUGGGAUUAGAUACCCGUGUAGUCCCUGUCUCUUAUAC
RNAcentral lists this ribosomal RNA (301 nucleotides) under uncultured bacterium. RNAcentral's name for it is "partial 16S ribosomal RNA". It matches the Rfam family "Bacterial small subunit ribosomal RNA", at positions 509 to 807 of the family's 1533-position model. The record is from RNAcentral.